RNAcentral lists this ribosomal RNA (472 nucleotides) under uncultured bacterium. Its description in RNAcentral is "bacterial SSU rRNA". It matches the Rfam family "Bacterial small subunit ribosomal RNA", at positions 355 to 825 of the family's 1533-position model. The record is from RNAcentral.
UGGGGAAUUUUGGACAAUGGGCGAAAGCCUGAUCCAGCAAUGCCGCGUGAGUGAAGAAGGCCUUCGGGUUGUAAAGCUCUUUUGUCAGGGAAGAAACGGUGAGAGCUAAUAUCUCUUGCUAAUGACGGUACCUGAAGAAUAAGCACCGGCUAACUACGUGCCAGCAGCCGCGGUAAUACGUAGGGUGCAAGCGUUAAUCGGAAUUACUGGGCGUAAAGCGUGCGCAGGCGGUUUUGUAAGUCUGUCGUGAAAUCCCCGGGCUCAACCUGGGAAUUGCGAUGGAGACUGCAAGGCUAGAAUCUGGCAGAGGGGGGUAGAAUUCCACGUGUAGCAGUGAAAUGCGUAGAGAUGUGGAGGAACACCGAUGGCGAAGGCAGCCCCCUGGGUCAAGAUUGACGCUCAUGCACGAAAGCGUGGGGAGCAAACAGGAUUAGAUACCCUAGUAGUCCCUGAGCGGGCUGGCAAGGCGCAU